RNAcentral lists this transfer RNA (71 nucleotides) under Labyrinthula sp. Its description in RNAcentral is "tRNA-Glu". It matches the Rfam family "tRNA". From Rfam's summary of the family: Transfer RNA (tRNA) molecules are approximately 80 nucleotides in length. Their secondary structure includes four short double-helical elements and three loops (D, anti-codon, and T loops). Further hydrogen bonds mediate the characteristic L-shaped molecular structure. tRNAs have two regions of fundamental functional importance: the anti-codon, which is responsible for specific mRNA codon recognition, and the 3' end, to which the tRNAs corresponding amino acid is attached (by aminoacyl-tRNA synthetases). tRNAs cope with the degeneracy of the genetic code in two manners: having more than one tRNA (with a specific anti-codon) for a particular amino acid; and 'wobble' base-pairing, i.e. permitting non-standard base-pairing at the 3rd anti-codon position. Lineage: Eukaryota; Bigyra; Labyrinthulida; Labyrinthulaceae. The record is from RNAcentral.
GUCCUUCUAGUUCAUCGGUAGAAUAUCGCCUUUUCGCGGCGGGGAGACGGGUUCGAUUCCCGUGAAGGAUA